Molecule: ribosomal RNA, 372 nt
Filed under: uncultured organism
Description: bacterial SSU rRNA
Rfam family: Bacterial small subunit ribosomal RNA
Source: RNAcentral
CGUAGGUGGCGAGCGUUGUCCGGAUUUACUGGGCGUAAAGGGCGUGCAGGCGGUUUGUUAAGUGCAGGGUGAAAGCUCCCGGCUCAACUGGGAGAGGUCCUUGCAUACUGGCGAACUCGAGGGAGGCAGAGGAAAGUGGAAUUCCCGGUGUAGUGGUGAUAUGCGUAGAUAUCGGGAGGAACACCUGUGGCGAAGGCGGCUUUCUGGGCCUUACCUGACGCUGAGACGCGAAAGCGUGGGGAGCGAACCGGAUUAGAUACCCGGGUAGUCCACGCCGUAAACUAUGGACACUAGGUGUGGGGGGUAUCGACCCCCUCCGUGCCGAAGCUAACGCAAUAAGUGUCCCGCCUGGGGAGUACGGCCGCAAGGCUA